GGAUUAGAUACCCUGGUAGUCCAUGCCUUAAACGAUGCAUACUAGGUGUAGGGGGGCUCAACCCUCUCUGUACCGGAGCUAACGCAUUAAGUAUGCCGCCUGGGGAGUACGCUCGCAAGGGUGAAACUCAAAAGAAUUGACGGGGGCCCGCACAAGCAGUGGAGCAUGUGGUUUAAUUCGAUGCAACGCGAAGAACCUUACCUGGGCUCGAAAUGUAGAGGACGAUAUCAGAGAUGAUAUUUCUCGAAAGGGUCUCUAUAUAGGUGCUGCAUGGCUGUCGUCAGCUCGUGCCG
This 293-nucleotide ribosomal RNA is filed under the name uncultured bacterium. RNAcentral's name for it is "partial 16S ribosomal RNA". It matches the Rfam family "Bacterial small subunit ribosomal RNA", at positions 775 to 1067 of the family's 1533-position model. The record is from RNAcentral.